ACUCCUACGGGAGGCAGCAGUGAGGAAUAUUGGUCAAUGGGCGCAAGCCUGAACCAGCCAUGCCGCGUGCAGGAAGACUGCCUUAUGGGUUGUAAACUGCUUUUAUAUGGGAAGAAACCCCUCUACGUGUAGAGGCUUGACGGUACCAUAAGAAUAAGCACCGGCUAACUCCGUGCCAGCAGCCGCGGUAAUACGGAGGGGGCUAGCGUUGUUCGGAAUUACUGGGCGUAAAGCGUGCGUAGGCGGAUUGGAAAGUUAGAGGUGAAAUCCCGGGGCUCAACCCCGGAACUGCCUUUAAAACUUCCAGUCUAGAGUUCUGGAGAGGUAAGUGGAAUUCCUAGUGUAGAGGUGAAAUUCGUAGAUAUUAGGAGGAACACCAGAGGCGAAGGCGGCCCCCUGGACAGAUACUGACACUCAGAUGCGAAAGCGUGGGGAGCAAACAGGAUUAGAUACCCUGGUAGGAUAGCG
This 468-nucleotide ribosomal RNA is filed under the name uncultured bacterium. Its description in RNAcentral is "bacterial SSU rRNA". It matches the Rfam family "Bacterial small subunit ribosomal RNA", at positions 335 to 799 of the family's 1533-position model. The record is from RNAcentral.